UCUGGAGGGGUGAAGACGUUGGAAAGGGAUGGCUUCCUGCCUUCUAAAAUGACUCUUCCCUCCUCUCUGACAUCCAGGCUGCCACUCUGUUGCAGAGAGGAGGGUGGUGUUUUCUGAGCCAGGCAGGUGCAUGGUGAGCGGCAGAAGCAUGCCAGGUCCACAUGGCCCUCAUGGUCCAGCAGGAGGACAAACAGCCCCACCAUACACACCGAUUGCUUUCAAAGAGAGAGAAGAACCCAAACUUCUUGGUCGGCCUGGAAGAGAAGCACCAGGCUGGGAAGGAGCCCAGUGUACAGGUUCAACCUCGCUGCCAUGUGGACCUGCUGGCAGCCACACUGAAGAUGUUCCUGGGUGCCUUCCUGUCAAGAAGAAACCAGCAGUUGGUGGAGUUUCGAGCUGAAAACACCCAGAGACUGUGGUCGGGCCAGCCCUACAGUUUGUCAUGCACUGGGCCUGCAGCUGCUGUUGCCUGCACCCUCUGUCACAUUUUUAUUGUUCACUAAGUACACAAUUGCUGAUUUCGGGGGCAUAACCUCAGAUCCCAACCCUGUCCCUGCCCAGCCACUUCUUUACCUUCCCAAGGAGCCUUUAUUCUCUGACACACUGUGUCAUUUGAUCCCCCUGCCACCCGGCUUUGGGCUCCUAAUCCUUCUUGUUUACAGUGAGUUUAAUCUCUGUCAUGUUUAGCCUUUGGCUGGGCAGAUCCCCUCCUCCCUGGGCCAGGCCAUGUGACACAUCCAUUAGCCCCAGUGACAGGGGCUUUAAGUAUGUCUGCAUCUUGAAAGAACAGUCCCCAAAGCCUUAAACCUGCUCCCAUAAAUAGCCUUUGAAGGGCAUUUGAAGGCAAACUUGAUGAACAGGAUCAAAGAGAGGCCUGGCUGGGGACCACCCCAGUAUAGCAGAAGCCAGGUUUUGAAGCAGAAAAUCAGUGGAUUUCUCCA
Fukomys damarensis (Damara mole-rat) is the source of this 941-nucleotide long non-coding RNA. RefSeq lists it as uncharacterized. Lineage: Eukaryota; Metazoa; Chordata; Mammalia; Rodentia; Bathyergidae. The record is from RefSeq and is a predicted model, not a curated record. The transcript is spliced from 3 exons.